RNAcentral lists this ribosomal RNA (439 nucleotides) under uncultured bacterium. RNAcentral's name for it is "partial 16S ribosomal RNA". It matches the Rfam family "Bacterial small subunit ribosomal RNA", at positions 339 to 795 of the family's 1533-position model. The record is from RNAcentral.
CUACGGGAUGCUCCAGUGAGGAAUAUUGCACAAUGGGGGAAACCCUGAUGCAGCAACGCCGCGUGGAGGAUGACGCAUUUCGGUGUGUAAACUCCUUUUAUAUGUCAAGAAAAUGACGGUAGCAUAUGAAUAAGCACCGGCUAACUCCGUGCCAGCAGCCGCGGUAAUACGGAGGGUGCAAGCGUUACUCGGAAUCACUGGGCGUAAAGGACGCGUAGGCUGGUUGGUAAGUCAGGUGUGAAAUCCUACAGCUUAACUGUAGAACUGCACUUGAAACUACCAACCUAGAGUAUGGGAGGGGGAGAUGGAAUUAGUGGUGUAGGGGUAAAAUCCGUAGAUAUCACUAGGAAUACCGAAAGCGAAGGCGAUCUCCUGGAACAUAACUGACGCUAAGGCGUGAAAGCGUGGGGAGCAAACAGGAUUAGAUACCCCCGUAGUC